RNAcentral lists this ribosomal RNA (305 nucleotides) under uncultured bacterium. RNAcentral's name for it is "bacterial SSU rRNA". It matches the Rfam family "Bacterial small subunit ribosomal RNA", at positions 333 to 656 of the family's 1533-position model. The record is from RNAcentral.
UUUCGCCUACGGGAGGCAGCAGUGGGGAAUAUUGCACAAUGGGCGAAAGCCUGAUGCAGCAACGCCGCGUGAGCGAUGAAGGCCUUCGGGUCGUAAAGCUCUGUCCUCAAGGAAGAUAAUGACGGUACUUGAGGAGGAAGCCCCGGCUAACUACGUGCCAGCAGCCGCAGUAAUACGUAGGGGGCUAGCGUUAUCCGGAAUUACUGGGCGUAAAGGGUGCGUAGGUGGUUUCUUAAGUCAGAGGUGAAAGGCUACGGUCCAACCGUAGUAAGCCUUUGCAACUGGGGAACUUGAGUGCAGGAGAG